Molecule: ribosomal RNA, 322 nt
Filed under: uncultured eukaryote
Lineage: Eukaryota
Description: partial 18S ribosomal RNA
Rfam family: Eukaryotic small subunit ribosomal RNA
Source: RNAcentral
CCCUUAGAUGUUCUGGGCCGCACGCGUGCUACACUGAGUGGAUCAGCGGGUCAGGUUGCGCGAAAGCGUUUCCUAAUCUUUAAAUCCGCUCGUGAUGGGGAUUGACGGUUGCAAUUUUCUGUCAUGAACGAGGAAUACCUUGUAAGCGCGGGUCAUCAUCCCGCGCUGAAUACGUCCCUGCCCUUUGUACACACCGCCCGUCGCUCCUACCGAUUGAGUGGUCCGGUGAGGCUUCGGGAGAGCUAAAUGGAUUGUGUUUCACAAACUAUUUGGCUUGAACUUAGUCAAACCUUACUACUUAGAGGAAGGAGAAGUCGUAACA